This 404-nucleotide ribosomal RNA is filed under the name Fusobacteriota bacterium. RNAcentral describes it as "Fusobacteria bacterium partial 16S ribosomal RNA". It matches the Rfam family "Bacterial small subunit ribosomal RNA", at positions 355 to 776 of the family's 1533-position model. The record is from RNAcentral. Lineage: Bacteria; Fusobacteriati; Fusobacteriota.
UGGGGAAUAUUGCACAAUGGGCGAAAGCCUGAUGCAGCGACGCCGCGUGAGUGAAGAAGUAUUUCGGUAUGUAAAGCUCUAUCAGCAGGGAAGAAAAUGACGGUACCUGACUAAGAAGCCCCGGCUAACUACGUGCCAGCAGCCGCGGUAAUACGUAGGGGGCAAGCGUUAUCCGGAUUUACUGGGUGUUAAGGGAGCGUAGACGGCGAAGCAAGUCUGAAGUGAAAACCCAGGGCUCAACCCUGGGACUGCUUUGGAAACCGUUUUGCUAGGGUGUCCGAGGGGGAAGGGGAAUUCCUCGGUGAGCGGUGAAAUGCGGAGAAAUUAGGGGGAACACCAGUGGCAAAGGCGGCUUACUGGACGAUAACUGACGUUGAGGCUCGAAAGCGUGGGGAGCAAACAGG